This 303-nucleotide long non-coding RNA is filed under the name Bos taurus (domestic cattle). RNAcentral describes it as "long non-coding RNA NONBTAT002998". The record is from RNAcentral. Lineage: Eukaryota; Metazoa; Chordata; Mammalia; Artiodactyla; Bovidae.
GAUUUUCCAGAGCCGGCCUCAUUUCAGAUGUUUAAUUCUUGUAUACUCAUAAACCACAUGCUCUGCUUUUUAUAUUGAAAGCGUGGUUUCCGUAAUCGCUGGAUGUUGCUGGGCUCAGAGUUGUUAUUUUUCAUGCAUGCAUCACUCCCUUUCCUGUACCUGCCUCGUGCCCAUCUCUGUGUUAUAUGCUGUAAAUAUGAAAAGGAAGGAGAAACUACUCACCUUUGGAAAUCUCAAGAACCAGUAGGGGAAGGUGCAAGUAAAAAAUGUGAUACCAUCUGAUAGAUAGAGCAGUAACAGAGU